Molecule: ribosomal RNA, 781 nt
Filed under: uncultured Lactobacillus sp.
Lineage: Bacteria; Bacillati; Bacillota; Bacilli; Lactobacillales; Lactobacillaceae
Description: bacterial SSU rRNA
Rfam family: Bacterial small subunit ribosomal RNA
Source: RNAcentral
GACGAACGCUGGCGGCGUGCCUAAUACAUGCAAGUCGAGCGAGCGGAACUAACAGAUUUACUUCGGUAAUGACGUUAGGAAAGCGAGCGGCGGAUGGGUGAGUAACACGUGGGGAACCUGCCCCAUAGUCUGGGAUACCACUUGGAAACAGGUGCUAAUACCGGAUAAGAAAGCAGAUCGCAUGAUCAGCUUUUAAAAGGCGGCGUAAGCUGUCGCUAUGGGAUGGCCCCGCGGUGCAUUAGCUAGUUGGUAAGGUAAAGGCUUACCAAGGCGAUGAUGCAUAGCCGAGUUGAGAGGCUGAUCGGCCACAUUGGGACUGAGACACGGCCCAAACUCCUACGGGAGGCAGCAGUAGGGAAUCUUCCACAAUGGACGCAAGUCUGAUGGAGCAACGCCGCGUGAGUGAAGAAGGUUUUCGGAUCGUAAAGCUCUGUUGUUGGUGAAGAAGGAUAGAGGUAGUAACUGGCCUUUAUUUGACGGUAAUCAACCAGAAAGUCACGGCUAACUACGUGCCAGCAGCCGCGGUAAUACGUAGGUGGCAAGCGUUGUCCGGAUUUAUUGGGCGUAAAGCGAGCGCAGGCGGAAGAAUAAGUCUGAUGUGAAAGCCCUCGGCUUAACCGAGGAACUGCAUCGGAAACUGUUUUUCUUGAGUGCAGAAGAGGAGAGUGGAACUCCAUGUGUAGCGGUGGAAUGCGUAGAUAUAUGGAAGAACACCAGUGGCGAAGGCGGCUCUCUGGUCUGCAACUGACGCUGAGGCUCGAAAGCAUGGGUAGCGAACAGG